RNAcentral lists this ribosomal RNA (207 nucleotides) under uncultured bacterium. RNAcentral's name for it is "partial 16S ribosomal RNA". It matches the Rfam family "Bacterial small subunit ribosomal RNA", at positions 564 to 774 of the family's 1533-position model. The record is from RNAcentral.
AGCGCAGACGGCGAAGCAAGUCUGAAGUGAAAUGCAUGGGCUCAACCCAUGAAUUGCUUUGGAAACUAUUUAUCUUGAGUAUGGUAGGGGUAAAGGGAAUUUCCAGUGGAGCGGUGAAAUGCGUAGAUAUUGGAAAGAACACCAACAGCGAAGGCACUUUACUGGGCCAGUACUGACACUCAGAGACGAAAGCUAGGGGAGCAAACA